CCAGAAGAGGUGCGAAGCUAAGGUAGAAAAUGUGAGGAACCACGAUUCCUUUGACCGUUUUUGAGGGUAGUUAUCGCCGAGAAUAUUUAAGGGUGGGCUUAAAUAUUCGGUCACUAAGGUUGAAUCCUUAUGGCUGUCACCUGUAGUAAUUAGUGCUCAAUGAGCAUGCAAUUUUAGGUGGAGAGCUUCUGGC
RNAcentral lists this non-coding RNA (193 nucleotides) under uncultured Colwellia sp. RNAcentral describes it as "Lysine riboswitch". It matches the Rfam family "Lysine riboswitch aptamer". Rfam says of the family: Riboswitches are metabolite binding domains within certain messenger RNAs that serve as precision sensors for their corresponding targets. The record is from RNAcentral. Lineage: Bacteria; Pseudomonadati; Pseudomonadota; Gammaproteobacteria; Alteromonadales; Colwelliaceae.